AUUGAACGCUGGCGGCAGGCCUAACACAUGCAAGUCGAGCGGAUGAAGGGAGCUUGCUCCUGGAUUCAGCGGCGGACGGGUGAGUAAUGCCUAGGAAUCUGCCUGGUAGUGGGGGAUAACGUCCGGAAACGGGCGCUAAUACCGCAUACGUCCUGAUGGAGAAAGUGGGGGAUCUUCGGACCUCACGCUAUCAGAUGAGCCUAGGUCGGAUUAGCUAGUUGGUGGGGUAAAGGCCUACCAAGGCGACGAUCCGUAACUGGUCUGAGAGGAUGAUCAGUCACACUGGAACUGAGAAACGGUCCAGAAUCCUACGGGAGGCAGCAGUGGGGAAUAUUGGAAAAUGGGCGAAAGCCUGAUCCAGCCAUGCCGCGUGUGUGAAGAAGGUCUUCGGAUUGUAAAGCACUUUAAGUUGGGAGGAAGGGCAGUAAGUUAAUACCUUGCUGUUUUGACGUUACCAACAGAAUAAGCACCGGCUAACUUCGUG
This 484-nucleotide ribosomal RNA is filed under the name uncultured bacterium. RNAcentral's name for it is "partial 16S ribosomal RNA". It matches the Rfam family "Bacterial small subunit ribosomal RNA", at positions 30 to 507 of the family's 1533-position model. The record is from RNAcentral.